UAAACUUGGAAACAAGGUUAGAUUUGGUCUGGGGAGAGGGAACAGAAGGAGUUUAAAGUUGAGAUCCAUUGCUUUGAGACCUGAGCUACCAUGCCCAGCCCAGUGCCAUUACAGUUUCAUCACAAGACUAAAUAAUAUAACUGAAAAGAUUUCUCUAAUCUUAGAAUCCUGGCUAGUGAUAGGAAGUGAUAGUCACUAGGGAUCACUGCAUGGUCACUAAGCAAAUGAAGCAGAGUUACCCCAAAUCUUUCUUUGAUAGAGUUAUUAUAUUGGAGAUAAAUCAUUUGACAUGGACUAUUUAUACUUCUAUAAUUCAUUUAGCGAAAUCUCAUGUGUGUGUGUGUGUGUGUGCGUGUGUCUGUGUGAGACAGAGAGAAAGAAAGAGGGAGAGAGAGAAUAAAAAAGAAAGAAAACAAGACACACAUGGAAUUCUUGACUCCAUGAAAAACACAGUGUAACAGAGAAGACUAAUUUAAAUGAGUAUUUAAUUAAAAUUUAUGUAAUGAAACAUAAUUCCGUCUGAACAUAUAUCUGGGAUAUCAGGAGGAGAUACUCUUAGGAAAUGUUUUUUAGUUGGAAAUCUAAAGGAUGAGUAAGAUUUAGUUAACCUGAGACUUGGUGUACUCAGUUUGGGGUAUGUUGGGUAAAAAUUGCCUUCAAGACAACCAGGAAGGUAAGUUGAGUAGGCAUUGGAACACAUACGGCUAGGUUUUGUUUAUAAGUGGAGCACAGGCUGGAGUUAUACUCUCAGAAAAUAGUCUGUAAUUUAAGGCAUGAG
This 778-nucleotide long non-coding RNA is filed under the name Homo sapiens (human). Its description in RNAcentral is "non-protein coding lnc-DMRTA1-8:1". The record is from RNAcentral. Lineage: Eukaryota; Metazoa; Chordata; Mammalia; Primates; Hominidae.